GUCUAUGGGAAGAGGGCAGCGAAGACAAGCAC
Molecule: non-coding RNA, 32 nt
Filed under: Geobacter sulfurreducens KN400
Lineage: Bacteria; Pseudomonadati; Thermodesulfobacteriota; Desulfuromonadia; Geobacterales; Geobacteraceae
Source: RNAcentral